Molecule: long non-coding RNA, 1298 nt
Organism: Triticum dicoccoides
Lineage: Eukaryota; Viridiplantae; Streptophyta; Magnoliopsida; Poales; Poaceae
Exons: 2
Source: RefSeq, a predicted model, not a curated record
UUUGGUCACCUCCUGACCAGGUACGACCUGACGCCGAGGACCGCACGAUCUGGGCUGAUCGAGCGGCUUGUGUUCGGCCGGUCGUUCUGCCUAGAUAGUGUGCGUGCACUCUGAAGUAUUUGGGUUCUUUGUGAUCUCAUCUCAUUAUAAAGUCAGUAAACUAAGAACCUGCCAAGCCGUGGUGAUUUUCUGAACUGUUGGUUUAGACCCAACCUGUUCAUCAGCACGUCGGCGCAGUUUGCAUAUACAACCCCUGCUCCGCCCCUCAAAGUGAAUUUUAAAAUUCAGAUCGGGAACGACCCAAAAUGCGAUUAACUAUGGGCUUAUAGCUCCUGUGCAACACAUUUGAGGUGAAUUGGCAACAGUGCGACGUUGUUCGAGCGAAUGGCUGUGGUGCGACAAUUUUGAGCAGGUAAAUAGCCCAUGCAUGACAUGGCUGUUAAACUCAACUGAUGCCCUCAUUAGCUGUUGGGGGCUGGACCCACCACUAAUCCACGUAAGCGCGGGACACACCACUUGUCUACUCGCGGGACCCACCUCCUCGCAGCUAGAAGAGACGAGCGCCCGUACCCGUCCGCCCGCCGCCGCCCAUUCAGCCCCUUUCCCCAAUCUUUCUCUUCUCCGACGACCUAGCGCAAAUGUCUACCUCCUCCGCCACGCACUCAAAAUGGCGACAGUAUGAUCCAAUGCUGCUCACAAGGUGCCCUGACUGCCCAUGCCCAGAGCCUCUUAAACGGUUGGUCACUAAGAAAGAUGACAAUGGCAAUCUUGGACGGGAAUUUGUGAAAUGCUUGAGCAAACCAAUGGGGAAGGGAUGGCAAGAUCCUGAAGAAAUGUUACCAUUUCAAGUGGAUUGAUGAAUAUGUUGAUAGGAUUUAGUUUGAUAGGAUUUGAGCGUGGCCGCAACCUGGGAGCUCAAUUUGGGCGGGGUGCCGCCGAUUGCUAUGGAGAAUAUGGGGAGCUCUGGCAGAGGGGCGGGCAGAGUCGUGCCGAUGGCGAUGUAUGCGCGCAAUGAUGAACUGCACGCGGGGUCCAAACUGACCGAGGAACUGAAGAAGAUCAAGAAACAUCUAAUGCAGAUGAUCGAUUUGCAAAAGCAAGGAAAUAUCAUGGCAGGGGGUUCUAUUGCUGUAUCAUUGCUCUGUUUUUGUUUUAUUUGUUGUUCAUCUGUCAUUAGAAUGGGCAUUUAGGCCUGUCAGGGUAGAGGAUGUUAUCUGUGCGCCAUGCCAAGUUCAUGUAUCUGAAUUGAAACAGCAAUUUGGAACACAAAUUAUUCAGUAUUCAUGCUCUGUUUCCUU